Long non-coding RNA from Ananas comosus (pineapple), 476 nucleotides. RefSeq lists it as uncharacterized. NCBI's taxonomy places the organism in Eukaryota, Viridiplantae, Streptophyta, Magnoliopsida, Poales, Bromeliaceae. The record is from RefSeq and is a predicted model, not a curated record. The transcript has 4 exons.
UCUCUUUUCAUUUCUUUCCUUCUUCUCUUUCUCUCUACAAAUCUAGGGUUGUUGGUUGAAGAAGAAGUGGUGGAGUAGAUUGUUUUGCUGUUUUUGAGCUGAGGAAGAGCUCUUGAGCAGGAAACCAGCUAGGGAAGCUUCCAAACUGAGCAUGUAUACACAUGGGUUUUAGAGAAAGCUCUUGGGAAGGUGAUAUUUUAAACUGAGAAGAAGGUUUUGAGUUGGAAAAAGUCUGGUUGAGAGCAACUUGAGAUGCAGUUUUUAGCUGAGAGGGAGUUCUCGAGCAGGGAUUUCAGCAGGUAGCACCCAAAUUGAGGGAAUUUCGACGUGUUCGGAAGUUUAAAUCGACAUUCCGACGGACCUACGGCGCGCUAAUUAAGAUAAAUCAUGUUUUGCUUUCGUUUGCGGCUGAUCGAAAGGAAUAGGAGUUUAUAAAUUCCGAGGCUCUAGUUCUAGCAUUUUGGUAUCCUUACGAG